This 292-nucleotide ribosomal RNA is filed under the name uncultured bacterium. Its description in RNAcentral is "partial 16S ribosomal RNA". The record is from RNAcentral.
GGACUACCGGGGUAUCUAAUCCUGUUCGCUCCCCGCGCUUUCGUGCCUGAGCGUCAGGUGGCGUCCAGGGCGCUGCCUUCGCCGUCGGUGUUCUUCCGGAUCUCUACGCAUUUCACCGCUCCACCCGGAAUUCCGCGCCCCUCUCCGCCCCUCAAGCCUACCCGUCUGGAAAGCCCCCUCCCCGUUAAGCGGAGAGAUUUCACCCCCCACGCGGUAGGCCGCCUGCGCACCCUUUACGCCCAGUAACUCCGGACAACGCUCGCCUCCUACGUAUUACCGCGGCUGCUGGCAC